Molecule: unclassified non-coding RNA, 290 nt
Filed under: Hevea brasiliensis (rubber tree)
Lineage: Eukaryota; Viridiplantae; Streptophyta; Magnoliopsida; Malpighiales; Euphorbiaceae
Source: RNAcentral
UUAAACAAGAGUACAUUGCCAUGCCCCACAAAAAUUACCAGAACUAAACAAGUACCAGCUACCCUAAUUUCAGAAACAACCGGAUUCUGCAAAAAUGAAUAUUAGAAAAAAUACAGGACCAAGCAAUUAAUAAUAGAUUCUGAUCUUUAAACACUGGACAUAAAUUAUCCGGGGUGAAACAAAAAUGUACGCCAACCCAUCAUGUAGCCACCUGACCAAAAAGCCUCUUUCGGAUCUCAGGAAGCUUUUUACGGAACACGACAUCCAACCGUGCAUCAAGGGUAUUCUCA